Molecule: long non-coding RNA, 281 nt
Filed under: Brassica napus (rape)
Lineage: Eukaryota; Viridiplantae; Streptophyta; Magnoliopsida; Brassicales; Brassicaceae
Description: long non-coding RNA (BNAP_LNC011605)
Source: RNAcentral
UAAAAUAAACCAAACUAACCUGAAAGAUAACCGGGUCAAAUCAAACUUCCAUACUAGCUAAAAGCUAAACUGAAACACGUUUUUAAAAAAAAAAUCAUCUAAAACUACACAAAUAACUCCCAUGAAUAAAUGAUAUUAAAACCAACUUUAGAAGAAGGAACUUAAAUACUCAAUUUUAGUUCACACUAUAUAAUACAUUUCUUCAGAACUUUAUGCCCUCACAGACAAUCCAAGAAAUGAGUAACUUACCACUUAUAUCUCAUCACCUCUCACAUCAAACA